GUAAUUUUUCAUUGUCGUUUGGUUUCUAUGUUGUAAUAGUUGUUUAUUCAAUUGUUCUGCUAUUCCUGUGGCUUGCAAAUAGAACAGCAUAACUUGAGAGAAAGGACAAUAAAGUACUCAAAACCGUCUCAGGAUUGUGAAAGGACAAUAAAGCAAACUGUCUACUGCAAGUACAAAUGAACCAAACAAUAUGGAUGAGAAGAAUCUAUGGAGGAACUUAGUAAUCGAGGUUGCUGGUGAUCUGACCUGCGAUUUGUCCCUGAUAAGGAGGUAAGUGUAUUUUUCAUAUACCUUGUAUUUUUCAUGUACCUCAUAGACGUAGACUUUUCCCUUUACAACUCAUGUUUCUCAUUUAUUCUGAUUUUGAAGAUUUUACUAGGUAACACUGAGAUUGUAUAUGCAACUUAGUAUUAAUAUUGUUCAAUGAUUCAAAUUGAGGAGACUCUAGCGACAUUGAUUUAUAAAGCUCCCUGAGCUAACUACUAUUUGCACAAAUCAAAGAAACUCUUUCAACAUAGCUCCCAACAGGGUUCGCUUGGAUGUGACUGAAGAGUUCAUUGUUGGCAUUAUUUAUUACCGAACACAUCUCUUUUCUUUGAUAGUACCUUUAAUCUACUAAAAGGUGUUUGGUCUAAUAAUCAGUUGAGGCUGUUGGUCCAUAAUAAUUUCUAAGAACAUGCUUAGAGAGUCAAAGUAAUUGUUUCAUAAUUUAACCUCCCAAAAAUAUACUAUCAUUAGGUUUACAAUACUUUGUAGAUAUCACGAGGCCUUAGACUACUUUUUGUUUAUAGGUUGCUAUGCUUCCAAUAAGACAUGGAGGGAAUGUGGACGCUCAGGAAACCAACAGCAAUUCAAAAGUUGGAACAACAUGUAAAGUCAAAGUUGCAUCACUCCUCACAAUUUCUAAAUGAAGAUGGCUACUGAUAUGUUAACACAUAUAUUUAAUUUUUACUGUGAUGUGAGUUUUUCAUAUUGAAGACUAGAUAGUGCUAAUUUGUAACAAUCUUUAAUAGAAAUAGUAGCUUGUUCGUCAAGUUAUCUGAGCAUGGGACUAUUGUUCCUGGUAGUGCAGUAACUGAAGCAAAAUAGUGGAGAGGUCAUGGUGUAUUUUUGCAAGUUCUGUUUGAUCUUGUAAAGAUUGUUUCCCAUAUAUUGAG
Molecule: long non-coding RNA, 1157 nt
Organism: Lycium ferocissimum
Lineage: Eukaryota; Viridiplantae; Streptophyta; Magnoliopsida; Solanales; Solanaceae
Exons: 4
Source: RefSeq, a predicted model, not a curated record